AAAUUGAAGAGUUUGAUCAUGGCUCAGAUUGAACGCUGGCGGCAGGCCUAACACAUGCAAGUCGAACGGUAACAGGAAGAAGCUUGCUUCUUUGCUGACGAGUGGCGGACGGGUGAGUAAUGUCUGGGAAACUGCCUGAUGGAGGGGGAUAACUACUGGAAACGGUAGCUAAUACCGCAUAACGUCGCAAGACCAAAGAGGGGGACCUUCGGGCC
Molecule: ribosomal RNA, 215 nt
Filed under: Escherichia coli
Lineage: Bacteria; Pseudomonadati; Pseudomonadota; Gammaproteobacteria; Enterobacterales; Enterobacteriaceae
Description: partial 16S ribosomal RNA
Rfam family: Bacterial small subunit ribosomal RNA
Source: RNAcentral